This 305-nucleotide ribosomal RNA is filed under the name uncultured bacterium. RNAcentral's name for it is "bacterial SSU rRNA". It matches the Rfam family "Bacterial small subunit ribosomal RNA", at positions 498 to 801 of the family's 1533-position model. The record is from RNAcentral.
UGCCUACGGGGGGCAGCAGCCGCGGUAAUACGUAGGGGGCAAGCGUUAUCCGGAUUCACUGGGCGUAAAGGGAGCGCAGGCGGCACGGCAAGUCUGGUGUGAAAGCCCGGGGCUCAACCCCGGCGAGCCGUUGAAACUGGCUGUCUUGAGAUGUCGAGAGGUAUGCGGAAUGCGCAGUGUAGCGGUGAAAUGCUUAGAUAUUGCGCAGAACUCCGAUUGCGAAGGCAGCAUACCGGCGGCGAUCUGACGCUGAGGCACGAAAGCGUGGGUAUCGAACAGGAUUAGAAACCCUAGUAGUCCCCAGA